Long non-coding RNA from Herpailurus yagouaroundi (jaguarundi), 1496 nucleotides. RefSeq lists it as uncharacterized. The transcript has 3 exons. Lineage: Eukaryota; Metazoa; Chordata; Mammalia; Carnivora; Felidae. The record is from RefSeq and is a predicted model, not a curated record.
CUCCGGCGCUAGGCGCGCCGGACCGCGGGGGGAGGGAGUCCCGUGGCGGGAUUUGGGGGGAGGAAGUCCCGUUUCGUGAGUGUUUCUUCGUUUCUUUAAGAGCUACCAGAAAACAGCCCACCCCCACCCCAUAAAAAAAAAAAAAUAAGCGAGUGGGGAAGAGCCAGCCCCACGCCGGUCCGCCUCCCGCCCGCGGCCCGGCCUCCCUCCCGCUCGCCGCCUGGCUCGGCGCUCCUGCGCCCCGAGUUCUCCAUCCCCUGGAUCGCGGGCUCGCGGGGGCGCGGAGAAGAGGACCGAGGAAAGGAUUCUCUGGAAGCUGCGGGAUCCCUCAGGAAAUGGUGGUUGACAGAGCUGGACAAAUGGACGCGGCACAGUCCCCGCCCUCAAGGAGACUAGAGACGGGUCAGGGAGACGGAUGCGCACACAACUUCGGAGCCUUCACCGGGACUCCUGGGGACGUCAGCUGUGACACUCACCAGGCGUCAUGGCAGUUUCCUGCACGGGGGCUUCUGCAUAAUCUCUGCCACGUCCCGGACUUGGCUCUGUGCCGCCGUGGCAGAACUGGCCAGGAGCAAGAAGUUGGGACUGAGCCCCGGUUUCCCAUGGGGACCUGGAACCAGUGAAGCUUAUAGGAGAAGGAGGGCUGGAUGACAGAGGAACCAGUCAAGGUGUGUGUGGAAAACCACCUGAGCCGCAGGGUGAACCAGGUGAGCGGGUUUGCUUCUGAAGGACUGAACCCUGGUGGGCCUUCUGCAGAAUGGCGACACUGUGGGGAUGGCCCCAGGACAGCAAAACAUGAUCCCAGCAGCCAGAGUGCUCCCCCCCCCAACCCCCGCCCCCGGGGAACUGAAGUCAGGAGCCAGGGUGACAAGGGACAAGCAUGAACCUGGGCUUUAUAUCCAAAUAUUUUAGAAGGUUUGGUAGGACAAAUCAAGGCCAAGGUGAGGCUAUGAAUGAACCCUAUUUCCUAUUCCACAUAGAUUUUCUUUCAUUUAUUUUUGGUUUUCAUUCAGGUAUUUUGCUGGUUUGUUUACUUUCAGGGAAGCCACGGUUUCCCAGCAGGGUUCACGGGACCCUCGAAGGAUGAGGAUUUCUAAAGAAAGGUCCUACAUUUCUCAUCUAGGGGCUUCCCACUUCUGAAAGUAUGACCCGCUCUUAAAAGAGCACAUUUUAUAGCAGGAUCUGGGACACAUGGACACGCACAUCACUGAAACAAGGGUUUCAAAAGCCAAAACUUGCCCAGAAUAGAGGUGGAACAGUCUCAGCAUCAUGGUGCUCAGAGAGUGGUCCCGGACCAGCAGCAGGUGUCGCCCGGGAUCUUGUUGGAGAGGCGGACUCCCAGGCCCCACCCCACAUAUGCUCUAUGGGGGGGUCUUGGAACGUUACCAAGACUUCCAUGUGAUUCUGAUACAUUCUAAAGCUUGAGAACCACUGCAUUGUCAUAUAAUAUACUAUGCUAUUCUAAUCUAUUAAUGAAAAACACCUUUAUUUUUUAA